AACAAAGUAUCUAAACAAAAUACAUAAGUGUACUCAAACUGAGUAGAAUCGUCGAUUAAACUUCCUUCCCCUUUUAAAAAUUAAAAACAGCAAAUAGUUAGAUGAAUAUAUUAAAGACUAUUCGUUUUAUUUCCCAGAGCAGCAUGACUUCUUGGUUUCUUCAGACUUGUUACCGCAGGGGCAUUUGUCGUCGCUGUUACACCCCGUUGGGCAGCUACAUGAUUUUUGGCAUUGUUCAUUAUUUUUGCAGCUACCACAUUGGCAUUGGCACUCAUGACCUUCAUUUUGGAAGUUAAUUAAUUCGCUGAACAUUUUAUGUGAUGAUUGAUUGAUUG
Molecule: small RNA, 335 nt
Filed under: Saccharomyces cerevisiae YJM1418
Lineage: Eukaryota; Fungi; Ascomycota; Saccharomycetes; Saccharomycetales; Saccharomycetaceae
Description: RUF5-1
Source: RNAcentral